UUUUGCAAAAAAAAGUGGUAUUUGGGGGAGAUAAUGUCACAUUUUUGGGAGAAAAAUGGUAUUUUGGGGAGACGAUGUCAUAUUUUGGAGAAAAGUGGUGUUUUGGGGGAGGAAAAGUGUUAUUCGGGGGACAAAGUUGUCAUAAUUUGGGGAGAAAUCUGGUAUUUUCUGAAAAGAAUGCCUUAUUUUCCGGUGAAAAGUGGCGUUCUUCUGGGAAAAAAAUGCCUUAUUUUCGUGAGAGAUGUAGUAUUUUGGUAGAGAAAAUUGGUAUUUAAGAGAGAAAAUAUCGGUUUUUUUUUUGUUUUUUUGAAGAAAAGUGGUAUUUUCGAGAGAAAAAUGGUCAUUUGGGGGAGGAAAGUGGUAUUUUGCAAGAGAAAA
RNAcentral lists this long non-coding RNA (378 nucleotides) under Gallus gallus (chicken). RNAcentral's name for it is "lncRNA (ENSGALG00010028213.1)". Lineage: Eukaryota; Metazoa; Chordata; Aves; Galliformes; Phasianidae. The record is from RNAcentral.